This 339-nucleotide long non-coding RNA is filed under the name Setaria viridis. RNAcentral's name for it is "long non-coding RNA (SVIR_LNC001325)". The record is from RNAcentral. Lineage: Eukaryota; Viridiplantae; Streptophyta; Magnoliopsida; Poales; Poaceae.
UCUAGGGAGAGGCUUUCUAGGGAGCAGUUUGGGAAUAAAGAUUCCUAUUCGACUGUAAUAAAAAUCAUAUCAAUACGUUCAAGUAUGGGGUCAAGCCACUCAUUACUCUACAUGUGCAAGCGACCUUGCAGGUGAAUCUCCUUCAAUUCUAGCUCAUUCGGAAACAAUCAAAAUCCCCCACAUAAAAACCAAGACCCCAAUAUUUACUAGAAAAUGUUGCAAAACUCCUGCAGGAAAGACCAACAUGCGUACAACAUCUCGACAUGCAUGACCAUUAAGACCAUGAACAUUCCACACUAGAAUUUGUUCAGCCAUAAAAAUAAAAUAAACACGACCGCC